Perkinsus marinus ATCC 50983 is the source of this 72-nucleotide non-coding RNA. The record is from Rfam. Lineage: Eukaryota; Perkinsozoa; Perkinsida; Perkinsidae.
GGUUCUAUCGUGUAGCGGUUAGCACUCUGAACUUCGAAUCUGGUGAUCCGGGUUCGAAACCCGGUAAAACCU